GCUAGGUAUAGUGGGGUGCACCUGUAAUCUCAGCUAUUGGGAGGCUGAGGUGGGAGGAUCACUUGAGCCCAGGAGGUUGAGGCUGCAGUGAACUAUGACUGUGCCACUGCACUCCAGCCUGGGCGACAGAGUGAGACCCCAUCUGAA
RNAcentral lists this non-coding RNA (147 nucleotides) under Pan paniscus (pygmy chimpanzee). Lineage: Eukaryota; Metazoa; Chordata; Mammalia; Primates; Hominidae. RNAcentral also lists the same sequence under 1 other name. The record is from Rfam by way of RNAcentral.